This 102-nucleotide small nuclear RNA is filed under the name Mus pahari (shrew mouse). Its description in RNAcentral is "predicted gene, 22663 (MGP_PahariEiJ_G0033769.1)". Lineage: Eukaryota; Metazoa; Chordata; Mammalia; Rodentia; Muridae. The record is from RNAcentral.
AUACUUGCAGCACCAGCACGACAAUAAAAUUGGAACAUUAUGGAGGUUAGCGUGGGCCUGUGCAAGGAUGACACAAAAGUUCGUCAAGUGUUCCCAGUUUCU